CAGCCGCCGCGGGAAUACAGAGGGUGCGAGCGUUAAUCGGAAUUACUGGGCGUAAAGGGCGCGUAGGCGGUUAGGAAGGUGUGAUGUGAAAGCCCUGGGCUUAACCUAGGAAGUGCAUCGCAAACCAACUAGCUGGAGUAUAAGAGAGGGUGGCGGAAUUUCCGGUGUAGCGGUGAAAUGCGUAGAUAUCGGAAGGAACACCUGUGGCGAAAGCGGCUCACUGGACCAUUUCUGACGCUGAUGCACGAAAGCUAGGGGAGCAAACAGGAUUAGAGACCCCCGUAGUCCCUGUCUCUUAUAC
Molecule: ribosomal RNA, 301 nt
Filed under: uncultured bacterium
Lineage: Bacteria
Description: partial 16S ribosomal RNA
Rfam family: Bacterial small subunit ribosomal RNA
Source: RNAcentral